GUGCAUGGCCAUACCAUCCUGAAUGCACCUGAUCUCGUCUAUGAUGAAAGAUAAACAGGGUGGGAUCUGGUAAGUAUUUGGAUGGGAGCCAAGAGUUCCCUCCCCAUUUAGGAAGUUCCCCUGCCCUUUACC
RNAcentral lists this ribosomal RNA (132 nucleotides) under Carlito syrichta (Philippine tarsier). The record is from RNAcentral. Lineage: Eukaryota; Metazoa; Chordata; Mammalia; Primates; Tarsiidae.